Molecule: long non-coding RNA, 949 nt
Organism: Mesoplodon densirostris (Blainville's beaked whale)
Lineage: Eukaryota; Metazoa; Chordata; Mammalia; Artiodactyla; Ziphiidae
Exons: 3
Source: RefSeq, a predicted model, not a curated record
GGGCGGUUCGCUGACCGGCGCUUCGGUGACCGGCGCUUCGCUGACGGGCUUUUUUGCCACACCCAGUUCCACUUCUAGUGGAAGUUUGAGCAGCUGGGAAAGAAGAAAGGAGGAAAGAAAAGCUAACACCGCUACUGGUCUAGAUGGCUUAGUUGGAGGAUUGACCCAGAUCUUCAACCAUGAGGAUCUGAGCCCCUGGUUACCAUGCACUUCUCGGGCCUAACUGCUAACUUUAUCCAUUUACCAUCAAAACUGGGGUAAAUGACCAGGUACGCCACCUGAAGCUCUGCUCAUUGGAUUUCCUCUCACAGCUAUUUUCAAGGCUACCCCUGAUUGGCACUUCAGUGCAGCUGCCAUCCAUUUUCGACUUGAACCUGUAUAAGAGGCCAAUCCACCUAUGAACCCAGCUUGAUCUUAUGCCUGCUUUGUCAGUCAUAAAGAACACUCUCUACCCCCACCAUAUGGCCAUAGUUUUGAGCUGAGGGAGAGAUGUCAGUUCAUCAGUGGCACAUGACAUGGGGGUCUGGAUGCAGGCUCAUGAUCCAUGGAUACAGUGGACCACUGUGAUAUUCUGUGAGAUGUCCAGCUAGUCCAAGUGUCUUCAGAUUAUAUUAUGGCAGAGGGUAGAAGAUUUAACAUAGCCCUGAGAAUAGACUAAAUGUAUACUGUUAUCCGUUCCAAGAGAACAUAACCUGUUUCUGAUUCUCCUUUUUGAUAGGGAUGGAAAUGAAAGCAUUUGCCAGCUCAAUGCCUGCCUACCACAUACCUGAAGCUGUGUAACUCUGCUCCAGCAAAAGUACUGUAUCUGGCAUAGCUGCUGCAAGUACAACUACUACUUCGUUGAAUUUGUGAUAGUCUACUGUCACCCCCCAGAAUCCAUCUGGUUUUUGCAAGAUCCAGACUGGUCAAUUAAAUGGAGAUACACUGGGGACUAGUAUCCCUGCAUUCU